CCUACGGGAGGCAGCAGUGAGGAAUCUUGGUCAAUGGGCUUACGCCUGACCCAGCCAAGUCGCGUGAGGGAAGACUGCCCUAUGGGUUUUAAACCUCUUUUUUCGGGGAGCAACGCCGGCUACGUGUAGCCGGACUGAGAGUACCUGAAGAAAAAGCAUCGGCUAACUCCGUGCCAGCAGCCUCGGUAAUACUGAGGAUGCGAGCGUUAUCGGGAUUUAUUGGGUUUAAAGGGUGCGUGGGGGGAAUGCAAAUUAAGCGGUAAAAUCGAGGGGCUCAACCUCGCUCCGCCGUUGAAACUGGCGUUCUUGAGUGCGCGAGAAGUAAGUGGAAUGCGUGGUGUAGCGGUGAAAUGCAUAGAGA
Molecule: ribosomal RNA, 361 nt
Filed under: uncultured bacterium
Lineage: Bacteria
Description: partial 16S ribosomal RNA
Rfam family: Bacterial small subunit ribosomal RNA
Source: RNAcentral